GGCCCUGUAGUCUAGCGGUGAGGACGUCGGCCUUUCAAGCCGAAGAUCGCGGGUUCGAAUCCCGUCGGGGCUACCA
RNAcentral lists this transfer RNA (76 nucleotides) under Burkholderiales bacterium. RNAcentral's name for it is "tRNA-Glu". It matches the Rfam family "tRNA". From Rfam's summary of the family: Transfer RNA (tRNA) molecules are approximately 80 nucleotides in length. The record is from RNAcentral. RNAcentral also lists the same sequence under 1 other name. Lineage: Bacteria; Pseudomonadati; Pseudomonadota; Betaproteobacteria; Burkholderiales.